AUACGUAGGGGGCGAGCGUUGUCCGGAAUGAUUGGGCGUAAAGGGCGCGUAGGCGGCGCGGUAAGUCUGGAGUGAAAGUUCUGCUUUCAAGGUGGGAAUUGCUUUGGAUACUGCCGCGCUUGAGUGCAGGAGAGGUUAUCGGAAUUCCCGGUGUAGCGGUGAAAUGCGUAGAGAUCGGGAGGAACACCAGUGGCGAAGGCGGGUAACUGGACUGCAACUGACGCUGAGGCGCGAAAGUGUGGGGAGCAAACAGGAUUAGAUACCCUGGUAGUCCACACUGUAAACGAUGAAUGCUAGGUGUAAGAGGUAUCGACCCCUUUUGUGCCGGAGUCAACACAAUAAGCAUUCCGCCUGGGGAGUACGGCCGCAAGGUUGAAACUCAAAUGAAUUGACGGGG
RNAcentral lists this ribosomal RNA (397 nucleotides) under uncultured bacterium. Its description in RNAcentral is "partial 16S ribosomal RNA". It matches the Rfam family "Bacterial small subunit ribosomal RNA", at positions 523 to 918 of the family's 1533-position model. The record is from RNAcentral.